RNAcentral lists this ribosomal RNA (253 nucleotides) under uncultured bacterium. RNAcentral's name for it is "partial 16S ribosomal RNA". It matches the Rfam family "Bacterial small subunit ribosomal RNA", at positions 524 to 776 of the family's 1533-position model. The record is from RNAcentral.
UACGUAGGGUGCGGGCGUUGUCCGGAAUUACUGGGCGUAAAGAGCUCGUAGGUGGUUUGUCGCGUUGUCCGUGAAAACUCACAGCUCAACUGUGGGCGUGCGGGCGAUACGGGCAGACUGGAGUACUGCAGGGGAGACUGGAAUUCCUGGUGUAGCGGUGGAAUGCGCAGAUAUCAGGAGGAACACCGGUGGCGAAGGCGGGUCUCUGGGCAGUAACUGACGCUGAGGAGCGAAAGCGUGGGGAGCGAACAGG